Molecule: ribosomal RNA, 613 nt
Filed under: Coleosporium phellodendri
Lineage: Eukaryota; Fungi; Basidiomycota; Pucciniomycetes; Pucciniales; Coleosporiaceae
Description: eukaryotic LSU rRNA
Rfam family: 5.8S ribosomal RNA (bases 208-362)
Source: RNAcentral
GAGUGCACUUUAUUGUGGCUCUACAAUUUUUUUUCCAUCUAACCCUUUCAAAACCCAAAACUGUUAUGUGUACCCUUGGUAUAGCAUUCCAGUAGUACGCAUCAUGUGAAUAUAUUCACAAGUUGCAUUACCAACCUUUAUAAGUGACCUUUUUUUUUAAUUAACUUUAUGCUGUUUUUGGAAUGUAAACCCCCUUAAAUUAUAUAUAACUUUUAACAAUGGAUCUCUUGGCUCUCACAUCGAUGAAGAACACAGUGAAAUGUGAUAAGUAAUGUGAAUUGCAGAAUUCAGUGAAUCAUCGAAUCUUUGAACGCACCUUGCACCUUUUGGUUAUUCCAAAAGGUACGCCUGUUUGAGUGUCAUGAAAACCUCUCAUUCCAAUUCUUUAUUUAAUUAUAUAGAGUUGUGAUAUGGAUGUUGAGUGCUGCCGUAAUUUGGCUCACUUUAAAUGUAUAAGUACUUUUAUUGAAGAAAUAAAUGGAUAUUUACUCAGUGUAAUAUUUACUAUUCAUUGAGGAGUGUAGUCAAACUAUUAUUGAUUGACCACAGCCAUUUGACCCUUCAAUAAAUAGCUCCCUAACCUUCAUUUAUGAAUUAUUCUUUUAGACCUCAA